CUGGCAACGCUCUGCUUUGUCUGGCUGAUCGGUAAAGCUGGGCUUGUGAUAGUGUCCACCUUGGCAUCUCUCAUUAGAACACUCAGCAGUUUGAAAAAUGCCAUUUAGCAGCAGGCAAAACAACUGAACAGACGCACCUGUUAGAAUUCCCAAGAACGAUCGACAGCAAUGGGCAGGACGGCGUGAAUUAAUGAAGUGACGACCUUGUGCCCAGUAGCACCCGGGGAAGACACUGCAGCAGUCAGGCUUCCAAAUGUUAUUUCUCGUUUGUUUUUACAUGAGCCGGAUUUCAAGCGUGGCCCUGAACAACACAGAGUUGCGAAACCUAAGAAGAGAUAUAUUGGAAGCAUCACGUCCAGUGGAGAAGCAGCUGGGAAACUGGGAGGCCUUAUCUGCUCCAAGCACCUUACAAUGACAAAUUGCAACUGUGUCUGAAAUGCUAUGCAGAGAUGAGUGAUGUGUCUUCAAAUUGUAAAUUCUAUACACCAUAGAUGGCAAGAUUUAAAUCCUGGGCUUAUGUUAUAAGAGAAGAUGAAUUUGAUUGGUUCCAUUGUAAUUUUAUUUGUCUGCAUUGCAAAACAACAACAUGAUUAGCACUUUCCAUUCAAGAGAGUCUAAGAAGUGAAAAGUCAGGAGUGGCUGCGAAUCAGGAUUGCGGUGCAUCCUCCGGACUGCGUGCAUUCUGGGCAGGAAUGAUGUGCUCAGGACCAAGGUGCAGCAGCAGAGCAGACCUAAAACUGGAACAACCAAGGGUGCUGCAGAUCAGGAAUGAGGUUUAUCAGCAGAGCUGCGUGGGAUGCCUAGAACUGGAAUAGCAGAGGGUGCUACAUAUCAUGUCUAAUGGGGACUGGCAGAGCAAGGGAAAGAGAUAAAAACUGACACAGGAACGGCUUUCAGUAUGUCUGGAACAAGCUAAUUCUAUUAGACCCUUUCUUGUAUUACUAAUUAAAUCCCCCUACAUAACACACCUUUUUUAAAAAAAAUAAAAAGGCCACACUCCCAGAAUGGUCCAGAUGAGUGUUAGAGAGCCUGGCUCAUGUGCUUUCUGCACUCCAUGCCAGUGGCAUAAGGGGCAAGGAGCCAUUGCCAAUCCCAUCAGAACCAAUUCUCGUUGUGGGGGAAAGAAAUGAGAAUGAAUCCAGAUGGCCCAUCCCAAUUUCUCCCAGUGAACACAGGGUCUGAAAAGAAACCCCCAAGAGUCUUUUCCCCAAAUUCAGCUAGAGGAACGCACGCAACACCUUCUGCCAACACACAAGAGCCAUCUUUAGAAAAGCACCAAUUAGCAUUGCACAGUGUCAGCAGCCAGCUUCCUGGCAGUUGGCACCGCUGUUUUUCAGUGCCUCCAAUGCUGUCUGUGAGUCUGCGUGGCUGGAUUCCUGAGGCUUAGCACCUCGAUUCCUGAAAUGAGCCCCAGUGCUAAUUCCCGAUUUUAGGAAAACAACAUUCCUCCCGUCGAAUGAAAACACUCGUACACAGUUCAUAAACCAUCUUCCUGGGGGGGAGGAUGGCAAGCUCACGGCAGCCUAGCAUAGACGUAUAUUGUUUGUGGCCCUCUGACGUUGCCCGCGGUGGGAGCCAGCUGCUGUUUGGUUAAGUGCUCUGUUUAAAGAUUCAAAUCCCCUUCUGGAUAGAGCUGUGAUCAAUACACUAUGUGAAUGCUAAU
Mauremys reevesii (Reeves's turtle) is the source of this 1663-nucleotide long non-coding RNA. RefSeq lists it as uncharacterized. The transcript is spliced from 4 exons. Lineage: Eukaryota; Metazoa; Chordata; Testudines; Geoemydidae. The record is from RefSeq and is a predicted model, not a curated record.